Molecule: ribosomal RNA, 407 nt
Filed under: uncultured bacterium
Lineage: Bacteria
Description: partial 16S ribosomal RNA
Rfam family: Bacterial small subunit ribosomal RNA
Source: RNAcentral
AAUAUUGCGCAAUGGAGGAAACUCUGACGCAGCGACGCCGCGUGAGCGAUGAAGGUCUNCGGAUUNUNAAGCUCUUUCCUUGGGGNCGAAGGUCUUCGGACUUGACGGUACCCAUGGAGGAAGCCCCGGCUAACUACGUGCCAGCAGCCGCGGUAAUACGUAGGGGGCAAGCGUUGUCCGGAAUUAUUGGGCGUAAAGGGUGCGUAGGCGGCCUUUUAAGUCAGAUGUGAAAGCCCACGGCUCAACCGUGGGAUUGCAUUUGAAACUGGAGGGCUUGAGUAUCGGAGAGGGUAGUGGAAUUCCCAGUGUAGCGGUGAAAUGCGUAGAUAUUGGGAGGAACACCAGUGGCGAAGGCGACUUUCUGGACUGUAACUGACGCUGAGGUACGAAAGCGUGGGUAGCGAACA